UGACAUCAUAAGGCUGUGCCUGGCUCUUGCUCUUUUGUGAUUUGGCUGAAGAAAGAAAAACAUCCACGUGACACACUAUUAUACAGAUGGCGUUUAUUAAAGAGGAGAGUGAAGACAUUAGGAUUGCAGAAGUAUUCAGCAUCAAACAUGAAGAUACUGAGGAACAAACAGGUAUAUUACAACGUCACAUCUGCCAAGCCAGAGUUGCUCAUGUCAUGCCGGCACCUCAAGAGAUUCUUCUCAACAUGGCCACCAUUUCAGAGUCUCAUCCCAUCAUGGCCGCCAUUUCACAGUAUGCUCACGCCACGCCUGAGUCCCCGGCCAAGGUGGCCGCCACGCCUGAGUCACCGGCCAAGGUGGCCGCCACGCCUGAGUCGGACGCGGAGCUUGGGCUUGGACUGAAAGGUCUGAUUGCUAGUGUGAUGGACCCACCUCUGAUGUCGGAGCGAGCUGCGGGCAUCCCCAUAACAUCAGUGCUCUCAAGCCCAGCCGUCCUAGAGAUCCUGUUGCCCUCUGCUGCCCUUACUGUAAUGGCGGUUGCCAUUUUAAGCGUGUGGGCUGUACACUGCGCUCAAGAGGCCUCUCCUUUCCAUGAAUCUGCUCCUGAGGCCUUUCCUGUCCAUGAAUCUGCCCCAGUGGCCUCUUCUGCCUAUGAGUCUGUCUCAGAGCCCUGUUCUGUAUGUUGUUUCAGGGUUGGCAUCAUCUGAGGUCCUCUGAGGGGUUGGCAUCAUCUCUUCUCAUGUGUUCUGGAUCCAGACUGAAGCUUGUGAAAUUCCUAGUUACCAUGGGAUGCAAAUCUCGAUUGUAGCGUGAUAGAAGACUAGUUAAGUACGUAGGAGCUAAAUCAUUAAG
This 852-nucleotide long non-coding RNA is filed under the name Sinocyclocheilus anshuiensis. RNAcentral's name for it is "lncRNA (ENSSANG00000003190.1)". Lineage: Eukaryota; Metazoa; Chordata; Actinopteri; Cypriniformes; Cyprinidae. The record is from RNAcentral.